RNAcentral lists this ribosomal RNA (800 nucleotides) under uncultured Corynebacterium sp. Its description in RNAcentral is "bacterial SSU rRNA". It matches the Rfam family "Bacterial small subunit ribosomal RNA", at positions 54 to 864 of the family's 1533-position model. Lineage: Bacteria; Bacillati; Actinomycetota; Actinomycetes; Mycobacteriales; Corynebacteriaceae. The record is from RNAcentral.
CAUGCAAGUCGAACGGAAAGGCCCUGCUUGCAGGGUACUCGAGUGGCGAACGGGUGAGUAACACGUGGGUGAUCUGCCCUGCACUUCGGGAUAAGCUUGGGAAACUGGGUCUAAUACCGGAUAGGACCGCACUUUAGUGUGUGUGGUGGAAAGUUUUUUCGGUGUAGGAUGAGCUCGCGGCCUAUCAGCUUGUUGGUGGGGUAAUGGCCUACCAAGGCGGCGACGGGUAGCCGGCCUGAGAGGGUGUACGGCCACAUUGGGACUGAGAUACGGCCCAGACUCCUACGGGAGGCAGCAGUGGGGAAUAUUGCACAAUGGGCGCAAGCCUGAUGCAGCGACGCCGCGUGGGGGAUGAAGGCCUUCGGGUUGUAAACUCCUUUCGCUAGGGACGAAGCUUUGUUGUGACGGUACCUAGAUAAGAAGCACCGGCUAACUACGUGCCAGCAGCCGCGGUAAUACGUAGGGUGCGAGCGUUGUCCGGAAUUACUGGGCGUAAAGGGCUCGUAGGUGGUUUGUCGCGUCGUCUGUGAAAUUCUGGGGCUUAACUCCGGGCGUGCAGGCGAUACGGGCAUAACUUGAGUGCUGUAGGGGUAACUGGAAUUCCUGGUGUAGCGGUGAAAUGCGCAGAUAUCAGGAGGAACACCGAUGGCGAAGGCAGGUUACUGGGCAGUUACUGACGCUGAGGAGCGAAAGCAUGGGUAGCGAACAGGAUUAGAUACCCUGGUAGUCCAUGCCGUAAACGGUGGGCGCUAGGUGUGAGGGUCUUUCUACGACUUUCGUGCCGUAGCUAACGCAUUAAG